UACGGGGGGGGCAAGCGUUGUUCGGAAUUACUGGGCGUAAAGGGGACGUAGGCGGCCAACUAAGUCGGACGUGAAAUCCCUCGGCUUAACCGGGGAACUGCGUCCGAUACUGGAUGGCUUGAGUUCGGGAGAGGGAUGCGGAAUUCCAGGUGUAGCGGUGAAAUGCGUAGAUAUCUGGAGGAACACCGGUGGCGAAGGCGGCAUCCUGGACCGACACUGACGCUGAGGAGCGAAAGCCAGGGGAGCAAACGGG
Molecule: ribosomal RNA, 253 nt
Filed under: uncultured bacterium
Lineage: Bacteria
Description: partial 16S ribosomal RNA
Rfam family: Bacterial small subunit ribosomal RNA
Source: RNAcentral